CCGGUACGAGGACAGUGUCAGGUGGGCAGUUUGACUGGGGCGGUCGCCUCCUAAAGAGUAACGGAGGCGCCCCAAGGUUCCCUCAGAAUGGUUGGAAAUCAUUCGAAGAGUGCAAAGGCAGAAGGGAGCUUGACUGCGAGACCUACAAGUCGAGCAGGGACGAAAGUCGGGCUUAGUGAUCCGGUGGUACCGCAUGGAAGGGCCAUCGCUCAACGGAUAAAAGCUACCCUGGGGAUAACAGGCUUAUCUCCCCCAAGAGUCCACAUCGACGGGGAGGUUUGGCACCUCGAUGUCGGCUCAUCGCAUCCUGGGGCUGAAGUAGGUCCCAAGGGUUGGGCUGUUCGCCCAUUAAAGCGGUACGCGAGCUGGGUUCAGAACGUCGUGAGACAGUUCGGUCCCUAUCUGUCGUGGGCGUAGGAAAUUUGAGAGGAGCUGUCCUUAGUACGAGAGGACCGGGAUGGACGUACCGCUGGUGUACCAGUUGUUCCGCCAGGAGCACCGCUGGGUAGCUAUGUACGGAAGGGAUAAGCGCUGAAAGCAUCUAAGCGUGAAGCCCCCCUCAAGAUGAGAUUUCCCAGUAUGUAAGACCCCUUGAAGACGACGAGGUAGAUAGGUUGGGGGUGGAAGUGCAGUAAUGCAUGGAGCUGACCAAUACUAAUCGGUCGAGGGCUUAUCCUAA
This 679-nucleotide ribosomal RNA is filed under the name Paenibacillus polymyxa. RNAcentral describes it as "bacterial LSU rRNA". It matches the Rfam family "Bacterial large subunit ribosomal RNA", at positions 2240 to 2925 of the family's 2925-position model. Lineage: Bacteria; Bacillati; Bacillota; Bacilli; Caryophanales; Paenibacillaceae. The record is from RNAcentral.